Molecule: ribosomal RNA, 429 nt
Filed under: uncultured bacterium
Lineage: Bacteria
Description: bacterial SSU rRNA
Rfam family: Bacterial small subunit ribosomal RNA
Source: RNAcentral
UCGAGGAUCAUUCGCAAUGCGCGAAAGCGUGACGAUGCGACGCUGCGUGGAGGACGACGGCCUUCGGGUUGUAAACUCCUGUCAUGAGGGACAAGACGGCCCCCGCGAACACCGGGGGCCACCGAUGGUACCUCAAGAGGAAGCCACGGCUAACUCUGUGCCAGCAGCCGCGGUAAUACAGAGGUGGCGAGCGUUGUUCGGAUUUACUGGGCGUAAAGCGUGCGUAGGCGGUCCUGCGUGUCGGACGUGAAAUCCCGGGGCUCACCCCCGGAAGUGCGUACGAAACUGCGGGACUUGGGUCCGGGAUGGGAUGUCGGAAUGCAGGGUGUAGCGGUGAAAUGCGUUGAUAUCCUGCAGAACACCGGUGGCGAAGGCGGACAUCUGGAACGGCACCGACGCUGAGGCACGAAAGCGUGGGGAGCAAACAGG